CGGGGGGCAGCAGUAGGGAAUCUUCGGCAAUGGACGGAAGUCUGACCGAGCAACGCCGCGUGAGUGAAGAAGGUUUUCGGAUCGUAAAGCUCUGUUGUAAGAGAAGAACGAGUGUGAGAGUGGAAAGUUCACACUGUGACGGUAUCUUACCAGAAAGGGACGGCUAACUACGUGCCAGCAGCCGCGGUAAUACGUAGGUCCCGAGCGUUGUCCGGAUUUAUUGGGCGUAAAGCGAGCGCAGGCGGUUAGAUAAGUCUGAAGUUAAAGGCUGUGGCUUAACCAUAGUACGCUUUGGAAACUGUUUAACUUGAGUGCAAGAGGGGAGAGUGGAAUUCCAUGUGUAGCGGUGAAAUGCGUAGAUAUAUGGAGGAACACCGGUGGCGAAAGCGGCUCUCUGGCUUGUAACUGACGCUGAGGCUCGAAAGCGUGGGGAGCAAACAGGAUUAGAUACCCCAGU
Molecule: ribosomal RNA, 457 nt
Filed under: uncultured Streptococcus sp.
Lineage: Bacteria; Bacillati; Bacillota; Bacilli; Lactobacillales; Streptococcaceae
Description: bacterial SSU rRNA
Rfam family: Bacterial small subunit ribosomal RNA
Source: RNAcentral